GUGUUCACUUCGGCAGCACAUACACUAAAAUCGGAAUGAUAGAGAAGAUUAGCAUUGCCCCUGCGCAAGGAUGACACGCAAAUUCGUGAAGCAUUCCAUAUAUUU
Dasypus novemcinctus (nine-banded armadillo) is the source of this 105-nucleotide small nuclear RNA. Lineage: Eukaryota; Metazoa; Chordata; Mammalia; Cingulata; Dasypodidae. The record is from Ensembl.